This 3753-nucleotide long non-coding RNA is filed under the name Vitis vinifera (wine grape). Its description in RNAcentral is "long non-coding RNA (VVIN_LNC006675)". The record is from RNAcentral. Lineage: Eukaryota; Viridiplantae; Streptophyta; Magnoliopsida; Vitales; Vitaceae.
CAUGAGUAUUUGUGGAAGGAAGUGGGAGAGGAGUUGUUGUCGUUGAGAUAUCAUGUUGUAUUACUCAAUCUUCUUCCACAUUUUCAACACGUCAGAGUUCUCAGAAUCUGCAAUUGGUGUGUUCAGGUAUCAGCUUCUUUCAAAACAUUUUAUCAUAGCUUUUUCUGCAGAAUUUCCAGUACCAUACAAACUUUCAUUCACAAACUAUAUGUUUUCUGCAGAGUCUUUAUAAAGCUGAGGUCUAUGAUAAGACGAGGAGCAGGGUAUCCCUCUCUUGUACCAACCUGGAAAUAAAUACAUCAUUUCAGAGGUGGGAACUACCGGGAGUCACCUACAUGCUCAAAGCUUGCUCUGCCAUUGAGGAUCUGUGCUUUGUUAUGGCCCCAAAACAGAGUCAGGUAACAGUGAAGGAGCGAAGGUAACAUAUAUAUUGUAACUCAUCUGUAUUGCAAUUCUAAAGAUAUUUCUUGGCUUGUGAACAUUCAGAUCCCCCAACUGUUUCUGAAGCCAGAUGAUUUUGAAGAAAGAAUAUAUUGGAGAAACGAAGCGAAGUCUUUGGUGAUGGCCCACUUGCAGAACCUCAAAAUUAUGACAUUCAAAUUGCCUGGAGAGUGUUAUCACAGUUGGAAACUUUGGCCUCUGGACUUACGCACCUUCUUUAUGGGAAGAGAGAAUGGAGUUGAACUACUGGCAGCUCUUAAGCACAGCUCCAACAAUCAAUUACGCGUUGUUUUGUCCACUGAUAAACAGCAUCGACGUUUUCUUAUUAGGCAGUAAAGGGUUAAUCCUAGAUCCUUAUAGAACAAUUCUGGAGCAAGGUUGCAGUCAGCAACACAGUUAUUUCAUCCAUUGAAGGCAAUUUUGAAAGAACAAAAUCUCGAACUUCCAGAGUAAAAUCUUCAUCCAAAAGAAUACUUGUGUGAUUUGAUAUCAAAAUGCAGAAUUUGAAUGCCACACCCCUAAUGUAAGUAUUCGAUCCCACACCCUACACUAAGUGCAAUCAUACAUAGGGGUCUCGUUUUGAUCCUUUUAUGUAAAAUCGAACAAAUCCUACCAUACUAACACGAUGAACCGUUGUGCCCAAGCCUGAAGAUAUAUGUCAGAUAAUGCUUCUUCUUCUUUUCUUUUCUUUUCCUUUUUUUUUUUUUUUCCAAAAACAUGGUUGACUUGACAACCAUUCCAUGGACUGUUUAAGAAUAUGAAUUUUUGGUUUUCUAGUUAGUCCAAUAAUAGGAUUCUUGGGUUAUGUUUGGUUUCUGGAAAGUAUUAAAAAAAAAAAUGUUAAGGAAAAUGAUUUUCUCAUGUUUGAUUGUCCUAUGAAAAAUAUCAAAGAAAAUCCAAUAUAAUUAAAACUAGUUAGGAAUUUAUGCAUUUUCACUUUUGCUUUCCUCUUACUUUUCAUCUCUAUUUUCUUUUCCUUACAUUUUCCCUCAAAUUUUCCAGGAACCAAACAUAUUCUUGGAGUUUUUGAUCCUAAUGAACACUAGAUAUAAAGGGUUCAUCCUAAAAAAAUGUUGUUCUCUAAAACAGCAAAUAGUCCAAAGUGAAGAGCCUACCUCAGUGGAAGUGAAUAGUUUGUAGAAUUCAGGAAGUACCAUAAUUUCCAAGAUUCUUGCGUUAUUAACUAUUGUCUUGCAUAUAAUUCUUAGAAUGUGUGAUAUUAUAAUUCACAAUACAGUAAGAUAAAAAACGUCAUGGUUAGUUUUAAGGAUUCCAAAUGGAGGUACAAGUCUGAUAUAAUUCUAUUUUUCCAAGACACUUGAACACAUCAACAUCUAUGAAAGUGAAAAUACAAGUAUAGACAGAUGGCAAGACUCUCUUUCUGCAGCAGAUGCAGGGAGAGGAGUUGCAGGGUAGCACUCUGCUGCUAAAGCAAAACAGCAGCAUGGCAUGGGAAACUGCAUGCCAUGGGAGAAGUUCAGCACAAGUCAUAAGGCAGCAGGAGCUAGUCGUAAGCAAUGAUUGGCAUCUUGGCAGUUGACCACCAAGCACAAGCACCAUUGGUGCAAGUGAAGCAAUGGAUGAGCCAUGUGUUCAGCAGAAACAGUAAGGUGUUCAGGUGCUGCAAUGCAGCAUUGCUGAAAGCAAGACCCAGUCAUCAGGGAUUGAGACAAUUGGUUCCAUCUUAGAGCACUCAUGUAACUACCUCUACUGCCUUGUUGGCAUGGCUGAUCAGGAGGCCUAAACCUAGUUGUGAAUUUGUAACUACCCAAGGCUGCCUAGAAUUAGCCAAGGCAUUAUUCUGCCCUUACUCUUAUCGGGUUGCUGGUGGUCUUAUGGAACCCAAGGCCAAUUUCCUUCUAACAUUGUUAUGGAAGCCUAAACCGUAAUUUAGUGUAGCCUAGCAGUGUUUUUGAAUUGGAUUGGAUUGGAUGCUCAAGAAAAGGACAUAAAAUGAAUCAUUUACAGUUCCUAAAAAGUGGGAAUCCAUUCAUCCAAGGCUCCUAAGUGUUAGAUAGCCUAACUCUACAAUCCACGAUGCCUUCAUGGAGAAAAUGGGUACACAACCCAAGUACAUAGAUAGUAUGCAUGUCACAACAGUAUGUCAAGAAACAAGACUAGAUGAGAAAAACAAAUACAUAAAAAGUCAUCCUUUCCUCUGCUGCCAGUGAUCUCUACUUAAAGGGUCUUUCUAUCAGCACUAACUUCUACCAACCAAACCGACACCCAUUUAGACAGAAUGGUAAUGAGGAACAGAAUGACUACUCUACGAUCAUCAAUCACAGAGACAGGCCAUAGUCUCUAUAAAUGCAUUCUGAAAUUAUGGCUACCCAAUGGGGACUAAAAACUGGUACAUUGUAGGUCAAGCUACAAGGGGUGGAGAUGUUUGGCAAAAUUAUGAAUCCAGGCAGCAAAGGAGCUAAAGAGGAGUCCCAAUUCAACCCAAGAUCAGUUCCUAUAAUGUAGCAUAUUAACUAAGCAAGUCUAAUUCAUGAAAACUUAGGGGUUAGUAGGCAGAGGUUCAUACAAAACCAAACUCCGAAUUAAUGUGGAAAACUAUGUGGUUUUGUAAGUAACUGCCUACUUCAAUUCCCCAAUUUAAUGAAAAAGCGAUGUUGAAAGCCAUAGCCUGAUGGGAUUUUCAAUAAAUAAAAAAAGGCUUAUUUUACAUGAGGUCUGAUCUUUGUCGAUUGCAAGGAAAAGCAGUAUGGAAACCCUAAUUACAUCAACAAUUACAUAAUUCUUAACGGUAGGUUAAAAUGAAUAUCGUUUAAAAGCGUAAGAGCUUCGGGGCUUCAAACUCUGCGUUUCUUCAGCACAUAUACAGUUCUCUCGUAACUAGCUACCAUCCAUCGAUUCAAAUCAACUUCGAGUUUCAAAACAUCAUCCACACUCAUAAAAACCAAUCAAGAACUCCAAUUAAUUUUCAGGAAUGAAAAAUUACGACAUAAUUAAAUUAAUCCAUCAACGCAAUUUAAUCAUAUUGCAGAGAUUGAAAACGCAUGUUAUAUACAAACUAUUCACUAAAUAACUGAACUUAGAAAAUUUUUCUAAAAACUUUCCUGUUAUUCAAACAACAAUACCAAUCCAAAGCCUAGCAACUACCCAGUUAUCAAAUAUUUAACUGAUAAUCUUACUAAUCAUAGCUUGGGAAGUUAAAGCUAAACUCACCUGAGAUUGGUAUCAUCUAAUUCUUCACUUUUUUAGUUUCUCCAAUUUUCUUUCUUUCCGAACACUUUUUUUUACCUCCUCUUUUUUCCCUCCUCCGGAAGCAAACGAAGGGAAUUUGUAUAUAUAUAUAGUGAAAAUUUU